CCCAGCUCGUCAUGCUAGAGCACUUUUUUAAUGUGCUCCACAACGACAAGGCGAAGACGACGCAUUCGUAUGUCAAUCCAUAUCAACUUUCGAUGUCAUUUACUGCGCCUACCAUGGUGACCAUGGGUAACGGGGAAUCAGGGUUUGAUUCCAUACAGGGACCCUGACAAACAGCUACCACAUGCAAGGAAGGCAGAAGGCGCGCAAAUGACCCACUCCCGACGCGGGGAGGUAGUGACG
Pelobates cultripes (western spadefoot toad) is the source of this 240-nucleotide non-coding RNA. The record is from the annotation of a GenBank genome assembly. Lineage: Eukaryota; Metazoa; Chordata; Amphibia; Anura; Pelobatidae.